This 495-nucleotide ribosomal RNA is filed under the name uncultured bacterium. RNAcentral describes it as "partial 16S ribosomal RNA". It matches the Rfam family "Bacterial small subunit ribosomal RNA", at positions 28 to 507 of the family's 1533-position model. The record is from RNAcentral.
GACGAACGCUGGCGGCGUGCCUAAUACAUGCAAGUAGAACGCUGAAGGAGGAGCUUGCUUCUCUGGAUGAGUUGCGAACGGGUGAGUAACGCGUAGGUAACCUGCCUGGUAGCGGGGGAUAACUAUUGGAAACGAUAGCUAAUACCGCAUAAUAGUAGAUGUUGCAUGACAUUUGCCUAAAAGGUGCAAUUGCAUCACUACCAGAUGGACCUGCGUUGUAUUAGCUAGUUGGUGGGGUAACGGCUCACCAAGGCGACGAUACAUAGCCGACCUGAGAGGGUGAUCGGCCACACUGGGACUGAGACACGGCCCAGACUCCUACGGGAGGCAGCAGUAGGGAAUCUUCGGCAAUGGACGGAAGUCUGACCGAGCAACGCCGCGGGAGUGAAGAAGGUUUUCGGAUCGUAAAGCUCGGUUGUAAGAGAAGAACGAGUGUGAGAGUGGAAAGUUCACACUGUGACGGUAGCUUACCAGAAAGGGACGGCUAACUACGUG